UACGUAGGGUGCGAGCGUUAAUCGGAUUUACUGGGCGUAAAGCGUGCGCAGGCGGCCCGUUAAGACAGGUGUGAAAUCCCUGGGCUCAACCUAGGAAUUGCGCUUGUGACUGGCGGGCUCGAGUACGGUAGAGGGGGGUGGAAUUCCUGGUGUAGCAGUGAAAUGCGUAGAGAUCAGGAGGAACACCGAUGGCGAAGGCAGCCCCCUGGGCCUGUACUGACGCUCAUGCACGAAAGCGUGGGGAGCAAACAGG
RNAcentral lists this ribosomal RNA (253 nucleotides) under uncultured bacterium. RNAcentral's name for it is "partial 16S ribosomal RNA". It matches the Rfam family "Bacterial small subunit ribosomal RNA", at positions 524 to 776 of the family's 1533-position model. The record is from RNAcentral. RNAcentral also lists the same sequence under 2 other names.